RNAcentral lists this ribosomal RNA (489 nucleotides) under uncultured bacterium. Its description in RNAcentral is "partial 16S ribosomal RNA". It matches the Rfam family "Bacterial small subunit ribosomal RNA", at positions 30 to 506 of the family's 1533-position model. The record is from RNAcentral.
AUUGAACGCUGGCGGCAGGCCUAACACAUGCAAGUCGAACGGUAACAGGAAGAAGCUUGCUUCUUUGCUGACGAGUGGCGGACGGGUGAGUAAUGUCUGGGAAACUGCCUGAUGGAGGGGGAUAACUACUGGAAACGGUAGCUAAUACCGCAUAACGUCGCAAGACCAAAGAGGGGGACCUUCGGGCCUCUUGCCAUCGGAUGUGCCCAGAUGGGAUUAGCUAGUAGGUGGGGUAACGGCUCACCUAGGCGACGAUCCCUAGCUGGUCUGAGAGGAUGACCAGCCACACUGGAACUGAGACACGGUCCAGACUCCUACGGGAGGCAGCAGUGGGGAAUAUUGCACAAUGGGCGCAAGCCUGAUGCAGCCAGGCCGCGUGUAUGAAGAAGGCCUUCGGGUUGUAAAGUACUUUCAGCGGGGAGGAAGUGAGUAAAGUUAAUACCUUUGCUCAUUGACGUUACCCGCAGAAGAAGCACCGGCUAACUCCGG